UGGAACAUAAAUUUGUACUUGACCUAAUUAAGUUGGGCAUACUUUUCAUUCAUGUUCUUAUGUGUCCAUGAAUCGUCCAAAGAAUUAACAAGAUGAUGACGCAUAUUCUCAAGAGUUGAGAAUUUGAGGCAUGUGUCAUUGGUGAUUAAUUCCUGAAUUGCUCCUAAUCGAUGGAUCAUCACGAGGACGGUGAUUGAUCCGCUGGGAUUAGUGCACAUACUGCUUUCUUUGAUGGACGAGUCUUGAGUCCAUAGUGUAGAGACGCUGGAGCAAUUGUGCAAGUGCUUGUUAGAGAACAAGGUACUGAGCGUGACCAAGACAAAAAGUCACUUGGAUGUCUAUCCACUCGUCAGUGACUUGCUUGAUGUUGCAGUAGUAUGACUGGUCCUUUGACCUACAGUGCUUCGGCUACUCACAGUGAGG
This 423-nucleotide long non-coding RNA is filed under the name Phoenix dactylifera (date palm). Its description in RNAcentral is "long non-coding RNA (PDAC_LNC013316)". Lineage: Eukaryota; Viridiplantae; Streptophyta; Magnoliopsida; Arecales; Arecaceae. The record is from RNAcentral.